This 300-nucleotide ribosomal RNA is filed under the name Pelobates cultripes (western spadefoot toad). It matches the Rfam family "Eukaryotic small subunit ribosomal RNA", at positions 174 to 471 of the family's 1831-position model. Lineage: Eukaryota; Metazoa; Chordata; Amphibia; Anura; Pelobatidae. The record is from RNAcentral.
GCAGGCUGGCCACCCAGUAAUCAGCACAAGUUAGAAUGUGGGCAACUCGGCAGUCGUUGUGCAGGCACUUUGGUGACUCUAGAUAACCUCGGGCCAAUCGCACGUCCCCAUGAUGGCGACGACGCAUUCGGUUGUCUGCCCUAUCAACUUUCGAUGGUACUUUCUGCGCCUACCAUGGUGACCACGGGUAACGUGGAAUCAGGGUUCGAUUCCGGAGAGGGAGCCUGAGAAACGGCUGCCACAUCCAAGGAAGGCAGUAGGCGCGCAAAUUAACCACUCCCGAUGCGGGGAAGUAGUGAC